GGGCAGACCAGGGACAGGGCCCAGCUCUUCCUUGAGGAUCCAUCUGACGCCUGCUGCUCCUCCCGGGGCUGCAGCCUCUGCAGCUGGGAGACUUCACCCCACUCAGGAUGGUGCUGACCAGGGACUGCACCACCUGCUCCGCAAAUCCAGCUCUGUCGCCUGCUGGUGACUUCAUCUCUGUGUGUGGCCCUCCAGCUCUGCACCACAUGGGCAGCAGUGGUGUCUAUCACACAGGAAAGGCUGGGGUGAAGACAACCCACAAGGUAGGAAGCCUCUCAGCUUCCAGCGCUGAGCCUCCACCCGCAGCCGCGCUGGCCGUUCUGUGUGAACAGAAAGAAGCGGCCGUCCUGGCCCUGUGCAAUCAUCUCUCAGGAGCUCACUGUGGCUGCACACUCAGGAUCACUGAAAUCAAACUUACGGUGCACUGUCUGGACAUGUGACAUGCACCACUUGCACAACAGCACAGAUCUGAAACUCCCCUCUCCAGGGGCUGCCUGAAGUCAGUCCCUCCUCCUGCAUUCACCCCGCCAACCUUGCUUCUUAAGUCAUUCCUGAAAACUACUUAGGCUUAGGGCAAUUUGUUCACAAACUGAUCCACAGAAAGCCUCCUGGCCUCUUUCCACCGGUAUUUCAGCAGGCCUGUAUCUUUCCACUCUUCACACAUCAGCCUUGUACCGUACGACGAUGUCUCUCUCAAAAGCAAGAGAUCACAUGUACGAUGGUGACCAGGAGCCGAUUCCUACUUCAUUUACUGCUUUUCUUAAUAGCAUCAUUUUCUCUUGGACUUGAUUUAACCUUGUGUUUUGC
Molecule: long non-coding RNA, 807 nt
Filed under: Cavia porcellus (domestic guinea pig)
Lineage: Eukaryota; Metazoa; Chordata; Mammalia; Rodentia; Caviidae
Description: lncRNA (ENSCPOG00000035153.1)
Source: RNAcentral